This is a long non-coding RNA of Suricata suricatta (meerkat), 505 nucleotides long. RefSeq lists it as uncharacterized. The record is from RefSeq and is a predicted model, not a curated record. The transcript has 3 exons. NCBI's taxonomy places the organism in Eukaryota, Metazoa, Chordata, Mammalia, Carnivora, Herpestidae.
ACCAGGGCUGAUGUGGUCAUGGUGGAAAUGGAGCCAGUUCUGUUACCCCAAAGCACCUCUCCUAAAACACGAAACUGAGUAAGCCAGGCCUGGCCUUGCCAGGAACAGCCGGCAUUGUUUGGCUUUUUGGAGAGACUUCCUGGACACAAUGCUCCAAACGAACCACAGCAGCGCCCCACACCGCCCAGCAAAGUGCACGCGGGACACCCAGGCGCCCAGCGCUCACGUUUGCAGGAGCGGAGCACACCUCCCGGGGUCCCUCCGUUCUUCCAGUCCAGGGAGGAAUAUACAUCUAUAAAACUGAAGGAAAAAAUUAGGUUGGAACCUCUGUCAUCAGAUGAGGGGAUAAGAAAAUGACCUGGACAACCUGAACAAAAACAGAAUGAAGAAAAUUCCAGAAGAGAGGGCCAGGCUUUACUGCCAUGUACCACUCCAGACAGCAUGCAGAGACAGCAGAGAGCAUAAUAAACAUCGGAGGUAUUUUGCAAUUCAUGGCUGACCCAGG